CACAGUUGAACUUCGGAACGCGGAGCUGCUGCUUGGUUCGAGUCAGGCAUCGUUGCGCCGACCUUCUGGGGUGCCGUGUCUCCAUCUUUGGGUCCUCCUUUGCUGGACCCGGCGCUUCGGACCGGUUUUGUGUGUGCCGGUGUGCUGUUCGGACAUCCAAACCCGCGACAGUCUUAUGACUUCGCGUUCAUCUUCAUAGCGCGGGACCAAUUGUUACCGGUUGAGAGAUCCGUCUUGAUUGGCGGUGUGUUCGAAGCGGUGUUGCCACUGACCUGAAACGGCACAGGUUGAAGCUGUUGGUUUUCCCCUCGGGGUGGCCAGCCUUCCCUCCCUCGGUCUGCCCGCGUGUGUUACCGUGAAUAAACCGAGACGUUCAAGGUGACCGACUUGUCGGCCGCACGCUUCAUCAUGGGACAACAGGGGAUCGACCGGUGGACCCUGCUUCUGCCAUUUCUUCAUGGUCCAUUUUCGGACAACCCRAGGCGUGCUCUUUCACGAUGCUGCCGUUGGUGAUGCUGCUGUGUGCCGCCAGUAGUUGCAAAAUGACUGCGGUUUCCACUCGACGGUGUCGUUUCUCCUGCGUGUGGCUGACCGAUCGACACGUUCUUGAUCGGAAUCGAGGAGCUCCCCCGAGGCAAUUUGUAUUGCGGCACGAGAGGUGAAAUUCUUAGACCGCUGUAGGACACUCUGCCGCGAAGGCCCUUUGCCAGAUGGUGUUUGUCAAUCAAGAACGAGAGUAUGGUGAUCGAAGAUGAUUAGAUACCGUCGUAGUCCAUGACCGUAAACCGUGCCAGCUCGGCGUUGGGGCCGCUCUGUUGCAAAACGAGUAUCCCAGCACCUUCUCCCCUCAACGAGAAAUCCAGAGCUUUUGGGUUCAGGGGGUAGUACUAUCGCAAGACUGAAACUUAAAGGAAUUGACGGAAUGACACCACCAGGCGUGGAGUAUGCGGCUUAAUUUGACUCAUCACGGGGAAUCUUACCAGGUCAGAACAACUCGUGGAUUGACAGAUUGACAGCUCUUUCUUGAUUCGUUGGACGGUGGUGCAUGGCCGUUCUUGGUUGGUGCUGUGAUGUGUCUGGUUUAUUCCGAUAACGAGCGAGAUACCGACCUCUCAAUAGACGCCGUCGUCGUAAUCUGUAGGAUGGAACGCGGCCGGUGUUCGUCACCCUCUCGGGGGUGGCGUCUCUAUCGGCCCAUGAUUUCCGUCCGAGACGUCGUCCCGCU
Molecule: ribosomal RNA, 1225 nt
Filed under: Urceolus sp.
Lineage: Eukaryota; Euglenozoa; Peranemea; Peranemida; Peranemidae
Description: SSU rRNA
Source: RNAcentral